GGCUAUGUGCAGAUAACCAUGUUUUGCGGCUUAAUGGUUAGCAAUAAACCUUUUAGCGUCAAGUAUGCAUCUGACCCAAAACAACGAAAAGGCCGCUUCGGAUGGGUUGAGGUUGCUGCAGGAAUAGAUUCAGACAGUUCCAAUCACAGAAGCAGCCUCUCAACAAUUGCUGGCUCAUUCAGAGAGAGUUCUGAACAGUAGGCAAUGUUUGAGAACAAAAGUAUUCACACGGAAUUUGCGGUCCAGUGUGUUCUCUGAAUGCUGGAGGUUAAGAUACAGACGGGAGGCAUGCUCACAAGGGAGAGUCUGCUGAAGAAUAUGGGGAGCUGAAAUCUACAACCUGCACUGUCUUUGACCAUUUCUGGAGGGCCUCACUAUGGACUUGACAUCGCACGCCUGCGAAGAGGGUUAAAGGCGGUCACCUCGCUUGUACAGGCUUUAAUAAACUUUUAACUGUUUGUAGAAGUUGGUGUGUGCAAAUUGCAUCUCGUGUGUGAAUCCUAUAAGUCCGAGUCCCAGACUGUUAAGACAGAACAACUCAAACUUCCAGAAGCAACAGACAUCAAGGUAGCUUGCUCAGGGCGGGGAGUUGGAGAGAGAGUUGUGGGAAGUUGGGGUAAGAAAGGGUGUGGUCAGGCAGCAAGGUGGUGGGUGUUAGCGGUCAUUCCCUCACUCACUCACCCCCAGACUGGGUCAGAC
Molecule: non-coding RNA, 699 nt
Organism: Chiloscyllium plagiosum (whitespotted bambooshark)
Lineage: Eukaryota; Metazoa; Chordata; Chondrichthyes; Orectolobiformes; Hemiscylliidae
Source: RefSeq, a predicted model, not a curated record